Non-coding RNA from Arachis ipaensis, 2938 nucleotides. Lineage: Eukaryota; Viridiplantae; Streptophyta; Magnoliopsida; Fabales; Fabaceae. The record is from RefSeq and is a predicted model, not a curated record.
AGAGAGGCUUGGUGGUGAAGAGAGAAGAGAGUGGAGAAAUAAAACCUUAACUUCCAUCACCUUUAAAUCUCCAUAAUUUUUGUUCCAGAGCUCUGAUUGACGAGUCAUUUGUGGCCAUGUGUUCAUCUCGGAAUCCUCUUCAAUUCUAUCUAAAUAGUUUGGAGUUCUCUAACUUGUGUUCCAUCACUAAUUUCAGUAGGUAAAGGUAAAAAACUCUUUUUCUCUCUUGGUUCAUCAAUUAUUAUGAGCCUUAAUUUUGAUAUUGUGCCACAUUAUAUGAUACGGUGUUAGAUUGAGUAAUUAGAAGCUUGGCUUUGUGGAACUUGGGAAAGGAAAGUUUGGAAGUUUGGAAUUGCGACAUUAAGGUAUAUGUUGUAGUUUUGACUAGGUAUUAUGUAAGGCUAUUUGAAAAUCUAGGUUACUUGCCCUGAUUGUUGAUAUACUUGAAUAAUGGUUAGUAUGAGUAUUGUGUUAGUUAAUGUAUUUUGGUAUAAAAUUGAGAAUGAUAAUAAUGAGUUUUGGGAUGAAUUGAGAAGUGUUAUGCGUUGUUGUUACAAUUGGACAUUAUAAUAUAUGUUGGUAUGAUUGAAAUUGUGUUGAAAUGAAAUGUGGUUUGAUUUUUAUAAAGGUGAUAGAUGUGGAUUUGGGCCGAAGGCCAUGGUAGGGUGAGAAAUUCUCUAUGUGGUACAUUGAGGUAAGUGGCAUGAAAUGUUGUAUGAGAAUGAGAUAUUUGAUGAUGAUUGGUUGUGAAUUUUGUUUGUAUGAGUGUGUAUAUUAAGAUUGUCUUGAGAAAUUGAUUAAAUGGGUGUUGAAUGAUUAGAAAAAGUAGAGAAUUGAUAAAUGUAUAUUGAGGGAGUUUAGAAGUGGUAUUGGAAUGGUUUUGAACUGAAUCGGAACUGGAAUUGGUGAAAAUUGUUAUGCAAAAAUUUUUGGGUAAAAUGGAUUUUUGAUGACAUUCGAUGGGCCAUAACUUGGCCCUUGAACUUCUGAAUUCUGUGGAACUUGUUUUAAAUGAAAAUUGGGCUUGUCUAUUUUAUGACGUUCGAAGAACAGACGAAAAAUCAUUUUUAACAAAAAAGUUAUGAACGUUUGAAAAUCUGGUUUCAAAAUUGAAUUUUGUAGAAGUUGCAGAAUUUUGAGAUCAUGUGUACGCAUGAUGGGCAUUCCAAAAUUUAAAAGAUUUCUUACGAGUACCAUGUGAAUACCAUGCGUGAGUGCAAAAGUGGACUUGUGCGUAUGCAUGAGGCAUGCGUACGCAAGACCACCAUGCUUUUAGAAAAUAUGUUUUUAAAUAUUUUAACCUAUCCAAUCUACUUUAAACCCCCAUAAGCCCCAAUUAAGGUCUGAUAGCUAGUUUUUAGACUUUGAAAUGAGUGCGAACAUAUUGAAUGGGUAAAUUGAUAUUAAAGGAGAUUGUGGAGUGGAAGAUUUAUAUUAAUAAUGGGUAAAUAUUAUUGAAAUGAGAUGAUGAUUACAAAGAUUAUGUGUAUAUGUAUAUCUAUGAAUACUUGAGAGGUCGAGAUAUGAUUGAGGGCGAUAAUGAUUUUGAUGAAUUGUAUGUGAUUGAAAAUCAAUUGAUAUGUGUUUAAGCUCUCCAGAUAGAUGCAGUGGUUCGCCCCACUUGCUCCAUGUUGAGAUUAGAAUGAAUUAGAAGUAAUUGAAGAGGAUGAGUUGGCAUGAUUGGGUAAAAAAGAAGAGUUUGAUUGAAAUUAUUUGAGCUCUCUGGGUGGAUGCAAAGGUAUAGUUUGCCCCGCUUACUCCAGGUUGAGAUGAUUUGAUCUCCCUAGGUAGAUACAAGAGUGUUCUUCGCCUCACUUGCUCCUAGUUGAGAUGAUUUGAGCUCUCCGAGUAGAUGUAGAGAUUCGUCCCACUUACUCCGGGUUGAGAUUGAGCUUCCCGAGUAGACGCAAAUAUUGUGGUUUUGUCCCGCUUCCUCCGGGUUGGUAUUUGUUGACCCUCUGUCGCAAGAUGUGGUCGAACACUUAGACCUUUUCGGAUAAUUCCUCCAAGGGAAGUGAAUUUCCCCUGGGGUUGCACGCACUGAGUGACUAUCUAAGGUUCGCUACCAGACAUGUUGGGUUUGGCUAUAUAACCGACAGAUGAGUUCAUUGGCCAUAGGACAGACAUGCAUAAUUUGCAUUUGUAUGUAUUAUUUAAGUGUGCAUCUUGUAUUUGGUUUGCCUUCUUGAUUAACCGUAUCUAUAUGCUAUUUGAUCCAAUUACUUUAUGUGUUCUCUCUACUUGUAUUGCUUUGUAUGUGUUUGAACAAUUGAGAGAUCUUUCAUGCUGACAGUGGUGACGCUGAGGGUUGUUCUUGAUGAGAACGUGGUGGUUGGAGGUUUGUGGAUAAUUGAGUUUCGAUCCUGAGUUGCUGAAUCAUAUGCUGAUAGACUGUAAUAUUGAAAAAAAGGAAGGCUAAGAGGUGUUGUGAAGGACUGAGAUUAUAAAUUUCUAGUACAGUGGUACGCUUAGUUUAAUUAUCCUAUUUUUGGUUUAGUGAGACCCCUAUGCUUGAAUCAAUGAGAUGUUGGAGAUUAGGAUUGUCUAGUAGGUUCAUGUAGUUUUACAUAGUCUCUAUUUAGAAUUAUUGCCCUACUGAGAACCCUGUAAAGGAUGAUGUUCUCACCUGUUGUGGAAAUUAUUACUUUUCAGAUGCAGGUCCCGACGCUCCUCAAUGAGCGGGAGGUUUAUGUGAAAGACAGUGAAGAAGAUAUUUUAUUCUAUUUUGAAUUUAGAUUCUCUCAUCCUUUUGGAAAAGAACUUAUAUGAUGUAUUUAUUAUGAAAACUUGUCUUUAGAGGCUUAUGAUGUAUUUUGGAGAGAUAGGGUAUGUUUAUCAAACUGUUUCAUUGUGGUAACUCUAGCCGGUCUAAUCUUCGCGAGUCGAGACUAGUAGAUAUUUUUAUAUACUUAUAUAUGUCUCUUACUCUUAUUCUUUC